RNAcentral lists this ribosomal RNA (135 nucleotides) under uncultured bacterium. RNAcentral describes it as "partial 16S rRNA". It matches the Rfam family "Bacterial small subunit ribosomal RNA", at positions 355 to 507 of the family's 1533-position model. The record is from RNAcentral.
UGAGGAAUAUUGCGCAAUGGGCGAAAGCCUGACGCAGCAACGCCGCGUGAGGGACGAAGGCCUUCGGGUCGUAAACCUCUUUUCUGAGGGACGAGACAGGACGUACCUCAGGAAUCAGUCUCGGCUAACUACGUG